CCUACGGGGCGCAGCAGUGGGGAAUAUUGGGCAAUGGGCGCAAGCCUGACCCAGCAACGCCGCGUGGAGGAAGAAGGCUUUCGGGUUGUAAACUUCUUUUAUGAGGGACGAAACAAAUGACGGUACCUCAUGAAUAAGCCACGGCUAACUACGUGCCAGCAGCCGCGGUAAUACGUAGGUGGCAAGCGUUAUCCGGAUUUACUGGGUGUAAAGGGCGUGUAGGCGGGACUGCAAGUCAGAUGUGAAAAUUAUGGGCUCAACCCAUAACCUGCAUUUGAAACUGCAGUUCUUUAGUGAUGGAGAGG
This 305-nucleotide ribosomal RNA is filed under the name uncultured bacterium. RNAcentral's name for it is "bacterial SSU rRNA". It matches the Rfam family "Bacterial small subunit ribosomal RNA", at positions 338 to 657 of the family's 1533-position model. The record is from RNAcentral.